GGGCGCUUAGCUCAGCUGGGAGAGCACCUGCCUUACAAGCAGGGGGUCGUUGGUUCGAGCCCAAUAGUGCCCA
RNAcentral lists this transfer RNA (73 nucleotides) under Clostridiales bacterium. RNAcentral's name for it is "tRNA-Val". It matches the Rfam family "tRNA". From Rfam's summary of the family: Transfer RNA (tRNA) molecules are approximately 80 nucleotides in length. Their secondary structure includes four short double-helical elements and three loops (D, anti-codon, and T loops). Further hydrogen bonds mediate the characteristic L-shaped molecular structure. tRNAs have two regions of fundamental functional importance: the anti-codon, which is responsible for specific mRNA codon recognition, and the 3' end, to which the tRNAs corresponding amino acid is attached (by aminoacyl-tRNA synthetases). tRNAs cope with the degeneracy of the genetic code in two manners: having more than one tRNA (with a specific anti-codon) for a particular amino acid; and 'wobble' base-pairing, i.e. permitting non-standard base-pairing at the 3rd anti-codon position. The record is from RNAcentral. Lineage: Bacteria; Bacillati; Bacillota; Clostridia; Eubacteriales.